Molecule: ribosomal RNA, 957 nt
Filed under: Klebsiella aerogenes
Lineage: Bacteria; Pseudomonadati; Pseudomonadota; Gammaproteobacteria; Enterobacterales; Enterobacteriaceae
Description: bacterial LSU rRNA
Rfam family: Bacterial large subunit ribosomal RNA
Source: RNAcentral
GGUGUGACUGCGUACCUUUUGUAUAAUGGGUCAGCGACUUAUAUUCUGUAGCAAGGUUAACCGUAUAGGGGAGCCGCAGGGAAACCGAGUCUUAACUGGGCGUUAAGUUGCAGGGUAUAGACCCGAAACCCGGUGAUCUAGCCAUGGGCAGGUUGAAGGUUGGGUAACACUAACUGGAGGACCGAACCGACUAAUGUUGAAAAAUUAGCGGAUGACUUGUGGCUGGGGGUGAAAGGCCAAUCAAACCGGGAGAUAGCUGGUUCUCCCCGAAAGCUAUUUAGGUAGCGCCUCGUGAACUCAUCUUCGGGGGUAGAGCACUGUUUCGGCUAGGGGGUCAUCCCGACUUACCAACCCGAUGCAAACUACGAAUACCGAAGAAUGUUAUCACGGGAGACACACGGCGGGUGCUAACGUCCGUCGUGAAGAGGGAAACAACCCAGACCGCCAGCUAAGGUCCCAAAGUCACAGUUAAGUGGGAAACGAUGUGGGAAGGCACAGACAGCCAGGAUGUUGGCUUAGAAGCAGCCAUCAUUUAAAGAAAGCGUAAUAGCUCACUGGUCGAGUCGGCCUGCGCGGAAGAUGUAACGGGGCUAAACUGUGCACCGAAGCUGCGGCAGCGACACUAUGUGUUGUUGGGUAGGGGAGCGUUCUGUAAGCCUGCGAAGGUGGCCUGUGAGGGUUGCUGGAGGUAUCAGAAGUGCGAAUGCUGACAUAAGUAACGAUAAUGCGGGUGAAAAGCCCGCACGCCGGAAGACCAAGGGUUCCUGUCCAACGUUAAUCGGGGCAGGGUGAGUCGACCCCUAAGGCGAGGCCGAAAGGCGUAGUCGAUGGGAAACAGGUUAAUAUUCCUGUACUUGGUGUUACUGCGAAGGGGGGACGGAGAAGGCUAUGUUAGCCGGGCGACGGUUGUCCCGGUUUAAGCAUGUAGGCGGAGGUUCCAGGUAAAUCCGGUACCUU